GAUCAUGGCUCAGGACGAACGCUGGCAGCGCGCCUAACACAUGCAAGUCGAACGAGAGAGAGGGAGCUUGCUUCCUCGAUCGAGUGGCGAACGGGUGAGUAACGCGUGAGGAACCUGCCUCAAAGAGGGGGACAACAGUUGGGAACGACUGCUAAUACCGCAUAAGCCCACGGCUCGGCAUCGAGCAGAGGGAAAAGGAGCAAUCCGCUUUGAGAUGGCCUCGCGUCCGA
Molecule: ribosomal RNA, 230 nt
Filed under: uncultured bacterium
Lineage: Bacteria
Description: partial 16S ribosomal RNA
Rfam family: Bacterial small subunit ribosomal RNA
Source: RNAcentral